Molecule: ribosomal RNA, 355 nt
Filed under: uncultured bacterium
Lineage: Bacteria
Description: bacterial SSU rRNA
Rfam family: Bacterial small subunit ribosomal RNA
Source: RNAcentral
AGAGACGAGUCAGAGUUUGAUCCUGGCUAGGAUGAACGCUGGCGGCGUGCUUAACACAUGCAAGUCGAACGAAGCACUUUAUUACGAUUUCUUCGGAAUGACGAUUUAGUGACUGAGUGGCGGACGGGUGAGUAACGCGUGGGUAACCUGCCUCAUACAGGGGGAUAACAGUUGGAAACGACUGCUAAUACCGCAUAAGCGCACAGUAUCGCAUGAUACAGUGUGAAAAACUCCGGUGGUAUGAGAUGGACCCGCGUCUGAUUAGCUAGUUGGUGGGGUAACGGCCUACCAAGGCGACGAUCAGUAGCCGACCUGAGAGGGUGACCGGCCACAUUGGGACUGAGACACGGCCCAA